UGACCGAUGGUCCCUGGUCUGUGCAGGACUC
This 31-nucleotide non-coding RNA is filed under the name Homo sapiens (human). Lineage: Eukaryota; Metazoa; Chordata; Mammalia; Primates; Hominidae. The record is from RNAcentral.